UACCAGCUCUUCGAGUGGUGUGGAUGUUUAUUGGGCCUAAAGCAUCCGUAGCUGGCUGGGCAAGUCCCCUGUUAAAUCCACCGAUUUGAUCGUUGGAGUGCGGGGGAUACUGUUCGGCUAGGGGACGGGAGAGGCAGACGGUAUUUUCGGGGUAGGGGUGAAAUCCUAUAAUCCCGGGAAGACCACCAGUGGCGAAGGCUGUCUGCUAGAACGCGCCCGACGGUGAGGGAUGAAAGCUGGGGGAGCGAACCGGAUUAGAUACCCGGGUAGUCCCAGCUGUAAACGAUGCAGGCUAGGUGUAUGGGCGGCCACGUGCCGCUCUAGUGCCGCAGGGAAGCCGUUAAGCCUGCCGCCUGGGGAUACGGCCGCAAGGCUGAAACUUAAAGGAAUUGGCGGGGAGCACCACAAGGGGUGAAGCUUGCGGUUU
RNAcentral lists this ribosomal RNA (427 nucleotides) under uncultured archaeon. Its description in RNAcentral is "bacterial SSU rRNA". It matches the Rfam family "Archaeal small subunit ribosomal RNA", at positions 474 to 903 of the family's 1478-position model. The record is from RNAcentral.